GAACUGAGACACGGUCCAAACUCCUACGGGAGGCAGCAGUGAGGAAUAUUGGUCAAUGGACGAGAGUCUGAACCAGCCAAGUAGCGUGCAGGAUGACGGCCCUAUGGGUUGUAAACUGCUUUUAUAGGGGGAUAAAGUGUGCCACGUGUGGCAUAUUGCAGGUACCCUAUGAAUAAGGACCGGCUAAUUCCGUGCCAGCAGCCGCGGUAAUACGGAAGGUCCGGGCGUUAUCCGGAUUUAUUGGGUUUAAAGGGAGCGUAGGCCGUUUGGUAAGCGUGUUGUGAAAUGUCGGGGCUCAACCUGGGCAUUGCAGCGCGAACUGCCAGACUUGAGUGCGCAGGAAGUAGGCGGAAUUCGUCGUGUAGCGGUGAAAUGCUUAGAUAUGACGAAGAACUCCGAUUGCGAAGGCAGCCUGCUGUAGCGCAACUGACGCUGAAGCUCGAAAGCGUGGGUAUCGAACAGGAUUAGAUACCCUGGUAGUCCACGCGGUAAACGAUGGAUGCUCGCUGUUUGCGUCUGACGUAAGCGGCCAAGCGAAAGCGUUAAGCAUCCCACCUGGGGAGUACGCCGGCAACGGUGCAACUCAAAGGAAUUGACGG
RNAcentral lists this ribosomal RNA (599 nucleotides) under uncultured Bacteroidota bacterium. Its description in RNAcentral is "bacterial SSU rRNA". It matches the Rfam family "Bacterial small subunit ribosomal RNA", at positions 316 to 916 of the family's 1533-position model. The record is from RNAcentral. Lineage: Bacteria; Pseudomonadati; Bacteroidota.